Molecule: unclassified non-coding RNA, 269 nt
Filed under: Hevea brasiliensis (rubber tree)
Lineage: Eukaryota; Viridiplantae; Streptophyta; Magnoliopsida; Malpighiales; Euphorbiaceae
Source: RNAcentral
CGAAAGCUAUCCCCUGGCUUUAUUGAACCCAGCCACAAGAUCCGCCUUCCAAAUGAAAUAGUUGUAAUAGAGCUGUUGAUGUCAGUUAAUUUGAAUGCCUGCUUUGCAUUGGCAAGGCCAGUUCGGUGACCAUUACCUGAUGCAUGUGAAUAUCAUGUAUGCAGCUUUUGGACACUCCAUAGAGAAGGGAAGGGAAAUUUAAAUUGCUAGAUCGGAUACUUAUCUAAAAACUAACAAAAUUUUAUAUGGAUCGCAACUGACAAGCCCCC